UUGGGCUAGCAUUAUUACAAUAUUGGACAUCUUGCUUCUUUGCCACUUGGAUUUUUAGCGGACAAAAUUGUCAAACAAAAUUUUUUCAGUUCAAAAAAAUUCAAAAACUAAAAGUCAAAAAAGUUCAAAAACCAGAAGUCAUUCCAUCUUUUUUGUCUGCUACACAUUAUUAUUCCAUGUUACAAUGAAUAAAUAAACGCACUUUGAAUCUACUAUCUAUUGUUCCUUUUGAAAGUCCUUCUGCCUUUUCACUUCCCAACUCUCAUCAUUAAGGAAAAUUGUACCAUUCCAACAAGCC
This 298-nucleotide long non-coding RNA is filed under the name Lupinus angustifolius (narrow-leaved blue lupine). Its description in RNAcentral is "long non-coding RNA (LANG_LNC001647)". Lineage: Eukaryota; Viridiplantae; Streptophyta; Magnoliopsida; Fabales; Fabaceae. The record is from RNAcentral.